Molecule: long non-coding RNA, 2321 nt
Filed under: Salvia miltiorrhiza (redroot sage)
Lineage: Eukaryota; Viridiplantae; Streptophyta; Magnoliopsida; Lamiales; Lamiaceae
Description: long non-coding RNA (SMIL_LNC009187)
Source: RNAcentral
CACAAUUUAUCUAGCACUUUUGAUAUUUCUUCGAGCACUUUAUCACAGGCUAUCCCGUCAACAUUAGAACACUUGGUUAAUUCCAUCUUCACAACAGCUUCAUUUGUUCCUGUUAAGAUAACAGAAACACAAUAUAUUCAAGAUAAACAAUACAACGUCCUUAAGAUAUUUGACAUGGUAAGAGAAAUAUUAAGUUCUAACAAAAUUGCACUAUCUGCCUAAAAAGGAAUUCGAAACCACGAGUAGUAAAAAACAAUCCAUUGAUAGGUCAUCUUGAAAUUACUCACAACAACAAUAAUGCAUACACAAGUAAGGUAAUAAAGAACAAAUGUAUAAACAAUCAAACAUUAUAGAAAAAAUAGAAGUGACAGACACUUACACAAAUGUAACAUAUCUGAAAUUGAUGAAGGCUGCAACUCUUUCUUGCACUCCACAUACUAAAAUACUCUACAAUCUUACGUGUGUUCUCAUCAACGCAUAAUCUGUGGCCACACAAUCAACGACAUAAUCAAAACACUUCCAUAAUCUGGAUGUAUUUGAAAUGAUAGUUAACUCAAGAUUAUAUUCUCUACUAAACAUAGCAGUUUGUGGUGUUUGUGGUGCAGGGCUCCCUGUUCACCAAACCAUGUUCACCAAAGAUUGCGAUGGUGAAAAAGGCAUCUUCUAAUAGACAUCUAUGUUUGGGAAACUUCACAAACAACAAUUCAUGCACAAAGAAAUCAAGAGUUGUUCAAUACUAAUUCCGUAAAAACAAUAAAAUUAAGAAACUUAACUUGAAUCAAUCAACAUAAUCAAACAAGAAAUUGGUAAUAGAGAAACAUGCCAUGUUUUAAUUAAGUUUCAGUUGAGAGAUACCUUCUAAACUGGAGACUAUUCUGUGAACAUGACUUCAUAACCUGACAUUUUGCAUGUCCUACACAGAAGAAUUUCCAUCAAAACUUCUUUUAUAAUAAUCAGUUGCAUUUUCAUAUAAACUAUAAAUUACUACCAAUUUUCAAGAGUGAGAAAGAUUAAUUACCUUUUAUAGCUUUAAAACCAUGACUGCAUGCUCCUUACUGACACUUCCCUUUGUACACUGUAAAUGGCUCUGGGAAACUGGUACAAGAAGAGUUAUAAAAGUACACUAUAGAAAGGUUAAGUAAUUUUAAUUACUUAAUAAUGUGAUUUAAGUCUUUCGACCAAUAUUUGUAGUGAUUUAAUCUUAACUCGAUCUGAACUACCUAAUUUACAAGCUAAUAGAUUUGAAUUACCUGAGCGAACAAGAACAUGUUGACGAAAAUGCUAACAGAUGAAACAAUUGAAACUCAAGGACAUGACCCGAUGGAUCUGUGUAUACACUUAGAAACAACAACAUAGCUUGGUAAAUUUGAGUAAAAUUUGGCUGGUAAGGUGCAAAAUGAUAUGCGUUACUGCUGUGAAACUAAUGAAACAUCAGAAACCAAGCAACUUCAUUAAUUGUAGUAUGUAUAUGUAGUAUUUAAAUAAAGCAUAAAAAGUGUUAUGUGAGAAAUGGAAAUAAGCAAAGCCUAAGAUAUGAAUUAUACUUAAUAUAGAAUCGCAAAAAAUUGUAUGCAUAACAUUCGCCAGAUAACUCUCAGGUUCUAAUAGUAGUUUUGUUUCUAAGGAUAUGUUUAGUUUGGUAUUGAAAAGGAUAUCAAAAUUCUACACAUGUCUUUCUCAUAAAGAUGAUGAGCAACCCAAAGAGGAAAAACAUAAAGUCCCAAGCUGCAGAUAGAGUGAGUGAAAGAAUCUUUACAUAUACUUACUUCUAAGCUUAUUAGAUCAAUUUAAAAUAUAAAGAUAUGCAUAUUGCAAUCAAUAACUAGUUUCACUUUUUUCUACUACUCGAUAACACCUAUGGAACCUUCAGAAAUUCAAAAAUGAGAAAUGAUGAACGAAACUCCACUAAAAUGUAGUGUAAUUCAUACAAAAUGUGAACUCGAAACUACUCUUUUUGCAACUCAAAUCAACAAAACAAACUAACUCUUCUUCCUGGAAAGAGACAUGAAACCUUAUACUGUGUACAAGAAUCUCAAUUUCCAUUAUAAAUAGGCGCACAUAAAUAAUCAUGUCGUCUAACAACUACUGCGAUCAAUUAGUCAAAAAAGAAUGAAUAGAAUUUUGUUAAACAUUAAUGAUAGCAAUAAUGAUGAUAGCAAUUUACCUGAAUUUUUUCUCAAUGAAGAAGGGCCUGCUCCCUGUUCACUGCAUCAAAUCUGUUGGAUCACUAUAGAGGUAUCAAAUUUGAUCACUCUUCAAUUGCCAUUAAAUUUAAUUCCCAAAUGCAUAACAAUAGGAAAAGGUCCAACUUUUUCAUAAUU